RNA transcript from Etheostoma cragini (Arkansas darter), 4622 nucleotides. It is a transcript of the gene named SMAD specific E3 ubiquitin protein ligase 1, with no coding region annotated. The record is from RefSeq and is a predicted model, not a curated record. Lineage: Eukaryota; Metazoa; Chordata; Actinopteri; Perciformes; Percidae. The transcript is spliced from 18 exons.
GACGUCAGUACGUGCUUGAGCCUGCCCGAAAAUGCUCUCCCGUGUUGUUGGAUUUCGAAAGAGCGCAGGACUUUGCGAUGAAAUAAUACAUUUUCGCCCGUGAAGAAAACAAAAAUAAAACGCAUGUUUUUAAACUUAAGUUGUUCGCGUUCCCAUUAAGUGGUGAAACGGUGAUUUUGGGAGACUCCAACGGGAAGUUUGAGUGAUCGUUUUCCCGGAGUGAUGUCGAAUCCUGGGACUCGGAGGAACGGGUCCAGCAUCAAAAUCCGACUGACAGUAUUAUGUGCCAAGAACCUCGCAAAGAAAGACUUCUUUCGCCUGCCAGAUCCAUUUGCCAAGGUUGUGGUGGACGGAUCAGGUCAAUGCCACUCUACAGACACAGUCAAGAGCACACUGGACCCCAAAUGGAAUCAGCACUACGACCUCUACAUUGGAAAGACAGACUCCAUCACCAUCAGUAUAUGGAACCACAAGAAGAUCCAUAAAAGACAGGGGGCGGGCUUCCUGGGCUGCAUACGACUGCUUUCCAACGCCAUCAGCAGGCUAAAAGACACAGGAUACCAGCGUCUAGAUCUAUGUAAGCUGAACCCCUCGGACAGUGACGCAGUGCGGGGGCAGAUAGUAGUGAGCUUACAGACGCGAGACCGUAUCGGCAGCGGAGGCCCUGUGGUGGACUGCAGAGGCCUUUUGGAAAAUGAUGGGCCUGUGUUUGAGGGAUGUUUCAGUGAAGAGCCGCUGCCCUACUCCGACCCCACUGGUGCGGCGGGGGGCGGGAACUGUCGGCUUGACUCACCCAGUCAGGAGGGCCGUCUUCAGUCGCAGCGAAUCAGAGGGCAGGACUCCAGAGGCCAUGGACACACCCCUCAGAACAGACCGCAUGGGCACCAACCGCCCGACCUGCCAGAGGGAUAUGAGCAACGAACAACAGUGCAGGGCCAGGUGUACUUCCUUCACACACAGACAGGCGUCAGCACCUGGCACGACCCUCGGAUACCGCGGGACCUGGCCAGUGUGAGCUGUGAGGAGCUUGGGCCUCUGCCAGUGGGCUGGGAGGUCCGGAGCACCGUGUCAGGCCGGAUCUACUUUGUGGACCACAACAACCGAACAACACAGUUUACAGACCCACGCCUACACACCAUUAUCAGCCAGCAAUCCCAAGCGAAGGAAUCCUCGCAAGCCCCCCCGAUGGAUGUGGGGGGUGAGGAAGGGGGAGGUGGAGGGGUGGGCGGCGGAGGAGAUGGAGAUGUGGCAGCGCGCUACGAGAGAGACUUGGUCCAUAAAUUGAAGCUGCUACGCCACGAGCUGUCCUUGCAGCAGCCUCAAGCAGGACACUGUCGCAUAGAGGUGUCCCGAGAGGAGAUCUUUGAGGAGUCAUAUCGACAAAUAAUGAAGAUGAGGCCCAAGGACUUGAAGAAGCGUCUGAUGGUGAAGUUUAGGGGAGAGGAGGGCCUGGACUACGGUGGGGUGGCCAGGGAGUGGCUGUACCUGCUGUGUCAUGAAAUGUUGAACCCCUAUUACGGCCUGUUCCAGUACUCCACAGACAAUAUCUACACACUACAGAUCAACCCCGACUCCUCCAUCAACCCUGACCACCUGUCAUAUUUCCACUUUGUGGGCCGUGUGAUGGGCCUGGCUGUUUUUCAUGGUCACUACAUCAACGGGAGCUUCACGCUGCCCUUCUACAAACAGCUGCUAGGCAAACCCAUCCAGCUCAACGACCUGGAGACGACCGACCCGGAGUUGCACAAGAGCCUUGUCUGGAUAUUAGAGAAUGACAUCACGUCAGUCCUCGACCACACUUUCUGCGUGGAGCACAACGCCUUUGGGAAGUUCUUGCAACAUGAACUCAAACCUAAUGGCCGCAAUAUCCCUGUCACUGAGGAGAACAAAAAAGAAUACGUCAGACUUUAUGUAAACUGGAGGUUUAUGCGUGGAAUUGAAGCCCAGUUUCUGGCUCUACAAAAGGGAUUCAGUGAACUUAUCCCCCAGCACCUCCUCAAACCUUUCGACCAUAAAGAACUUGAGUUAAUCAUUGGUGGACUGGGAAAAAUAGAUCUUGCAGACUGGAAGACGAACACCCGCCUGAAGCACUGCACAAGUGAAAGCAACGUGGUGCGGUGGUUCUGGCAGGCAGUUGAGGCCUUCAGUGAGGAGAGGAGGGGGCGCCUCCUGCAGUUUGUCACAGGCUCCACCAGGGUCCCCUUACAAGGGUUCAAAGCGCUGCAGGGUGGGUCAGAAACCACACACACACAUACUGUACUCGCAUCAAUCUGAGGAUUGAUAUGUCUCCCACAUACUCGCAGUUCCUAGCAAAAGACAAUUACAGCAAAGGCUUUCAGGAAAAUUCCAGGAAACAAUCCCUACUAUGUUAGAGCCUGAUUAUUGUACAGUUUUGAGGACAUUUAACUUUUGUAUACACAUCCUCACAAGAAAAUAUAGAACACGGAGAUGUGCUAGAUACUUACAGACUUCAUUCAGGGCUACAACUAACUAUUAUGUUCUCAUCAAUUAAUCAGACUAUUUUUUCAAUUAAUCUGUGAAUUGUUAUAUCUAUAAAAUGUCAGGAAAUAGUGAAAAGCUGAAAUCCUAAAGAGUCCUGUUUUGUCCGGCAGUCCAAAACAGAAAGAUAUUUGGUUUACUAUCAAGUAUGAUAAACUAAAACAUCCCAUUUUCCCAUUUGAGAAACUAGCAAAUGUUUGGCCUUUUUGCUGAGACGAUUUAUCGAUUAUCCAAAUAGUUCCCGAUUCAUUCUCUUGUCGAUCGACCUUAACAACUCAUCAACCAAUCGGCACAGUUGUAGAUUAAAUGAUACCCUCUUUGCUUGUAGGGAUGUAGCAAUUAAUUGUUUUACCCCUAUUCAAGAUUCAUUAUGUGUUGAGAAUGAGUCUUUAUUCGACGUUGUUCGACACACUCACAGCCUGCAGCUGCAGAUUGUUCACUUUACCCACAAAGGAUUUGAAUUUUAGUUUACAAAACCAUUUCAGUUAAAACCAGAAUGGAUCUAAAUUGAGAAAAUAUAACUUGUAUCACAAGAUAUGUUGUAACAGGAGGUUUGGGUCAGGAACUGGGCAGCCGCUUGUGAUGCCCAGCAUGAACCAAACACUACAGUACAAAUGCUUGUCUACACACUUUUAGAAGUUCUCACCUGUAGUUACUUACAUUACAUUAGCACGCCUCUAAGUUUGAGAUUUGAUGUGAGCUUUUAUUACUUAAAGAUUAAGUGUUCUGUUCUCCAGAGUAGAGCAGUGAUAACUAGAAUGUAUGUGUGUAAGGUUCUACAGGUUCUGCAGGACCAAGGCUCUUCACCAUCCAUUUGAUAGACGCCAACACAGACAACCUGCCCAAGGCUCACACCUGUUUUAACCGGAUAGACAUCCCUCCCUACGAGUCUUACGAGAAGCUCUAUGAGAAACUGCUGACGGCUGUGGAGGAGACCUGCGGCUUUGCUGUGGAGUGAGGAAUCCACAAGCAAACCAACAGUCACACUUGCGCUUGCACUUGCACACAGACUAUUUGACAUUUUACAUAUAUACACACACAUCAACGGAAUAUCAAGUAUACGCGGAGUAUACGGAGCGGCCAAGCACGCAGUCUCACACGAUCUCUUGCCACCUCUUCACCACCAAACUGUUGGAGGUUAAAGGAGGAAGCACAGCGGGAGAGCAAAGGAUUUAAAAACAAACACAAAAAACAGACAAAAAAAUAAAGUAUUUUAAAAAUGUUCAAACGUUUUGAAGAAGCAUUUUUAUCCUAUAGUUUUAACGAGCUAUGAUGUCAUUCUUCCGAAUGUCUACCGCCACAGCGAAUUUGACUCCCGAGACACUCGAGUCAACGGACAGAAUCGGCCAUUCACAUGCGAGCCUGCAAACAGAGACCUUUUGAAAUCAGACAUGAAGGACACGGCAGAGACUGAUUGUCUUUCUGUCCAACAAGCUGAUUGAUUGACUAGUAUUCAUGCUUCAUGUUUAACCACUGUUGUGUAUCAGAACGUGUGCAUGUACAUGUGAUUGUGUGAGUGUGUGUGGUAGUGAGUGAGUGUGUGAGUGAGUGUGUCGGACAUGGCACCCCGUUACGAUGUAAAAAUGAUCAAAUGAGCCUGCUCCUAUGUUAGCUAACAUUUUUUAUCUCUUCCAUUUGUAUCUGCGACCACUCUGAUCCACUCUGAUAUUUUAUUAUUUAUUACUAAGUGAUUACUGACCAAGCUGCUAUAUGCUCUACAGAGAGCCCACACUAAUCUCUAAAUCACCCCCUCUACCAGAGUUGAAGGGUCAAUUCACUUGCAAUUCAAGUAAUCCACAAAGUGGGUUUUUAUUGAAUUUCGUUUUUUUUUAACAUUCAUAUUAUUGCGGAGAAAUGCUCUUGUCAUUGUAUGAAAAACUGUUAGUGUUUUGGUGUUUGAAAUACCAUGUUACCUUAUUUCAAGUGAAAGGGAUUGAUCCUCCCUGCCGUAAUUUUGAAAUCUAACUCCACUGACGUUAGGGAGAGGUCCGAGGGCUUGAACUAGAUAUUUAACUAAAUGAGCUUUGAGGAUGGAAAGAAGGAGUCAGCUUCAGGAAUUCUUUGGUUGUAUGUGACAUGUAUAAUAAAAUCUCAAAACUUUCUUACAUGUUUCAUCAUCCAUU